RNAcentral lists this long non-coding RNA (4262 nucleotides) under Homo sapiens (human). Its description in RNAcentral is "HSALNT0137885". The record is from RNAcentral. Lineage: Eukaryota; Metazoa; Chordata; Mammalia; Primates; Hominidae.
GCGCCACCCCGGUAACCCCGGCGAGGAAACGCGCUCUUUCCUUUUUCUUCUCCCCUCCCCCCUCCCCUUUCUCCCUAGAGGCAGCUCCCGUCCUCUAAAUGCAUUACACACACACACACACACACACACACACACACACACACACACACACACGGGAAAUCUCUGGGGCUCUCCUUUUUCCACCGGUCUCGCCUCCUCCUAACACUGGUGUUGGUCGAACAAGCGCGAAACUCACAGAAGUUUCCCCGAAAACGAACAGCUUUAAAUGCCAGGAGGGAAAAUGUCGGGGGAAAAAGUGGAGGUCGGUGUUUCCCUAAAUGCAAAACAUCAGAGAGGAAUCUGAAAAGAGCUUUACUUUCCCUGCGAAAUCUCCAUUGUUGCUCAGCAAACAAUGGGAGCCUGGGCGACUGGAGGGCUGUGCGAAUGAAUAGGCGAUCCGCGGGAUGUGUGCGGGUCAGUGCCUGGGGUCCCGGGCCUAAAGCCCCUUUCUCAGCUUGCCACAAUAAACCAGCGCAAGGUUUAGUCCUUACUGGGUCACCGGCCAUCCUCUAUUAUUCAACACUUCACAACAAAAAACACUUAUUAAUCAGCGCUGACCAGAGGCCCCUUUUGAAACAAGAGAAGAGGGGAGAGAGAGAGGGAGUGAGAGAGAGAGGGGUGAAAAGAAGAUUGAGAAGCCCUGGACAGAUCUUUCUAAAGCCAGAGCAACCAUGGGGUACUUUCCUCCAGUGGCCAAAGUUUAUUUGACACAACAAAGUUUCUAAUCAGGCCACGGAGACCUGGAUUUCUCCUCAUUUGCCUCACUCCCGGUCUCUUCCUCUGAAGAUGCUGGAGACUUUGUUGCAAGAAAGGAUGGCUUUAGGUCAUGUUGCUGAGGCCUGAUCUUAAAGAUCUAAUUGCUAUUGGAAGAGAAUCCUGUUUCCCAACUGGGCCUCCCCUCUGGAGAUGGAGCAAGGAAGACUGUCCAACUCUGCUCUGGGCACCCUGCUGAUGGAUGAGGUGUCAGGCCAGUCGUCAUGUGAGGACUGGUUUCCAAAUGCAGAUACAAAAAGAAAAAUUACUGUCAUGUGAUGUGUGAUCCAUGAUACCGUCAUAGUUUUGUUUUGCUGUGCUCCACCUUCAUACCUUCGCCUAUGUUAGAACUUCUGAGAAGCUGAAGCAUCACAUAUAAAAAGCCAAGACCAUCCUCAAGGAGUUUAAUGAAUGUGGCAUCACAAGAAAAAUAUGCAUCAACAUUGAAAAAUAUGGUGCCUCCCUCUGGAACAGAGCGCAGUUAUAUUUCCUGCAUAGUAUGGAAAAGAAAUAAAAUUCCAUUAACAGAGCUUGAGGAAGUGGACUUGACUAAGCUGGAGUAAGGAGUGCAGAGAGUGAGGAGACAGGAUGCGAAACAAGAAGAUGAGGAAACUGAAGCCUGAGAACAACAUGAAUUCUACAAUACAUUUACCGUCAGAAGGCAGCGGUGUCAACGGCCACGACGACACCUGGAACUGAUUCCAAGACUUGUGGUCACCGUGGGAAUGCUAUUUAUUGUACAUAGUGACUCACAAAUCUAGGUUAUGUGAACUAUAAAAAGCCUGACUCAGAACUCCAGAGAGUAAGGAGCUAAUACUUUUUGAAAUAUAGGCCAUAGACUGUGAUAUAACGAUGUUUGUAGAGUUAUUUCUCAAGGCAGCAUUAUUCAAAGCAGCAUUCGACAUAGUCAUACAUCCAUUAAUGAAUAUGUGUCAUGACAUUAACCAAAAUAGCUUCAGAUAACAAUUAGCAUACGUACUUCUGGGCAUAUUUGGUGAGAGAGAAGGAAGUAGAGGUAGGACUGAGGUUGGAAGUGUGGGAAGGGGGAGGGACUCUAGCAAAGAAAGAAGGGUGGGCGCUGUGGAGGGCCAGUGAGGGAGGGGAACUGAGGCCAGGAUCCCCCAGCAGCCCAGGUCUGAGUCAUGGGGAGAGGACUGGAGGAUCUGGGAGAAGGACCAUGAAGCUUUCUUCUGCCCCAGCUCAACUUCGAUGUCACCCAAAAAUGUUAAGUUUCCCUUCAGGUCCUGCAUUUGAAUGAUUUUAGUUCUUCCUCCCUUACUCCAAAUUUCCCCAACAUUUAUCAAUAGCUGACAUUCCGUCAGAUACUGAGAAUUAAGAUGACCUAAAACGCAAAGGCUUGGAAAAGACAAUGGUCCCUUAGUGGAAAUAAAAAAUAGAACAAAUCCAUCAAAUGGAAAAGACUGAGGUGUGAUCAUUUCCUGUUUUGACUAAGGAGAGAAUCUGAAAACAGGAUACCAGCUACCUCAUCUAGGGGAGAAGAAGGAAUAAGGUUUUAAAAAGAGGGACAUGAAGACACAGAAUGAAACCUUCAAUAGCAUCACCACUCACAGUGGGGCCGUGGAAGGAGCUAAGCACCAAGUGUAUCAUACUCUGCAGCCAGGAAAGGGAGUUUUACCCUUAAAUGAUUUAUGAAGAUUCUGUGGGGGUGUUUUGUAGAUGUUAUUGGGAGUUUUAUUGUUUGCUAUUUCUGUUGUUUUUAACAUCGCUAGCUUCCUAUAAAGAAUUUUUCCCCCCAGGGGAUUCUAUCCCUGUAACUAUAUUGACUUAAUUCUGGAGCACCAGUGCAAUUAAAAGACAGUUCUAAUUAAUAGGCAAUAGAAUGGUUGUAUGUAAAAGAUUUCAGCAGUUUAUGCUUGGUGCACUAAACGAAUCUGAAAAAAGUCACAAAAGGCAUCAGAGCUCCAUUAGAAUUUAUCAGCUGAGAUGCUUGGAAUAUUUUUCACACUGGGUAGUCACAUCACUCCCUGCAGUUGAGAUUGGACUGAAAGAAAAAAAGGUCGACAUAUUUUUCUGUACCGGUGGCAGUAAAAUGGCUUCUCAUUUCAACUGAGAAGUACCAACCACCAGAGCAAAAGCACCUUUACAGCAGGAAUUCUACUUCUGACCCACCAAGGAAAAACACGAUAUAAUCACUGUCUCUAAUUUUCCAGCCAGCAGCCAGACUAACUGGGUCUGACUGUAGGAUUUGGGGUCAGACUGCCUGGGUUCCCACCCUGCCUCUGGCCACGAAGAAUAAGUAGAAUCCUGGACAGAUAAACUGAAUCUCUCCGCUUUCAUGUCCUCAUCUGCAAAAUGGGAUAGUAACAGUGCCUUCCUCCUAGGACUUGGUAAAGAUUGCAUGAAUAACUCACAUAAUGCAUUCAGAAUGCUGUUUAGCAGCACAGACAGCACUCGAUGAAUUUUGUGCUACGAUUAUUAUCCAGGUCCAUCAUUAGACACUGUGAUGGGGUGUAAAGAAACUGUAUGAUUAAGCACAUUCCAUACUUCAUAUCAUGAUCCAAUCUAAUAAUGCACAGUAGGGGGUGGAGAGGAAGAGGUUCUGAACUCUGAACUUUCAAAUAAAUGAAGUUCUGCCAUGAAACGCUGCACAAACCAUGACAAUUCCAAGUACUCUUCUAUUAAUGCCAAUGAUUUCCAAGCACUUGAACAAAAGAGGAUCGUUGGUUAUCCACAUAGGCUAAACAGUGUAAAUCUUUCACAUUGUAUUGUAUUAUCACUUAUGUACUUCUUGAAAACCAUUUUAUUGAGGUAUGAUUGACAUACAAAAAGCUGUUCAUAUUUAACCUAUACAACUCAGGGAUUUUGGAGAUGAGUAUAUACCCAUGAAACUAUCACUACUAUCUAUGCCAUAAACCUAUCAUCUCCAAAACUUCCUUUAUUAUAAUUAUUUUUAUGAUAACAGUACUUAACAUAAGAUCUACCCUCUUAGAAAAUUUUUCAGUAUACUAUCCAGUAUUGUUAAGUACAGGCACUAUGCUGUAGAUCUCCAGGACUUAUUCAUCUUGUAUAACUUUAAAAAAUAACAUCCUUGAUAGUCUUACUCCUACAUGCAGUCUUUCUAUAAACUUGCAAUAAAAAUAUUAUUAAGAAAUUUAAACAUUUAUUUCCCUACCUAUCCCAGGACAUCUAGAAAAGCAACACAUUUAUUGAGAAUUUUUGGUCUUUGCAUGAGUCUAAGAGUAAGAAAGUAUGAAUUAAGGUGGUCAAGACAUGCUGAGGGUCAUUUUGCUAAUCUUGUCGGCUUCCCAGGUUCUGAAAUCCCUGCCUGUGUUUGGAGAAUCCUCCCCUUAUUUGGCACAGUGUGCCAUUCUCGCAGUCACAGCAUUGGCAUGAGUCCUAGCCAUACCCAGAUCUUGAAUAGGAAAAAUUGGAUAGCUGCUCUGCAGCGUCCAGGCAGCAGCAGCUAUGACUCUAGGCAAAGCUACAAGUUCCAAGUUCCAAGUUCUGUG